This 497-nucleotide ribosomal RNA is filed under the name uncultured bacterium. Its description in RNAcentral is "partial 16S ribosomal RNA". It matches the Rfam family "Bacterial small subunit ribosomal RNA", at positions 28 to 507 of the family's 1533-position model. The record is from RNAcentral.
GAUGAACGCUGGCGGCGUGCCUAAUACAUGCAAGUCGAGCGAACGGACGAGAAGCUUGCUUUUCUGAUGUUAGCGGCGGACGGGUGAGUAACACGUGGAUAACCUACCUAUAAGACUGGGAUAACUUCGGGAAACGGGAGAUAAUACCGGAUAAUAUUUUGAACCGCAUGGUUCAAAAGUGAAAGGCGGUCCUGCUGUCACUUAUAGAUGGAUCCGCGCUGCAUUAGCUAGUUGGUAAGGUAACGGCUUACCAGGGCAACGAUGCAUAGCCGACCUGAGAGGGUGAUCGGCCACACUGGAACUGAGACACGGUCCAGACUCCUACGGGAGGCAGCAGUAGGGAAUCUUCCGCAAUGGGCGAAAGCCUGACGCAGCAACGCCGCGUGAGUGAUGAAGGUCUUCGGAUCGUAAAACUCUGUUAUUAGGGAAGAACAUAUGUGUAAGUAACUGUGCACAUCUUGACGGUACCUAAUCAGAAAGCCACGGCUAACUACGUG